UGCGCGGAGCGAGGCGGCGCGAGCGGGUCUCGGGGUCCGCGGUCGGGGUGGCGGGGUGGCCGGGCCUCCUCCGUCCCGGGAACGGGGCCUUUGGAAGCCCUCCGACCCGAGGCCGGCAAGGACCGGAGGGCGAGGGAGCCCUGCCUGCCCGAGUGCAGCCCGCGGGGGCGGCUUUCUGGGCGCGCCUCCUGACGCGGGCGGGGAGUAGUGUUGCCUGGCGAGUGUGGACGCGACGUGGGCAGCGCGUGGUCGCCGGUGCAGUCGGGCGGUCCCUUCAGGCGGACGGCGGGGAGUUCUGAGAAGUCCCUCUCGUUGGAGGACCCCUUGCUCCCAUAAGUACUUGCCUAUUCUGGCAAUCACAUGGACAUUGGAUGCUAACCAUUGGCGCUGACCUGUCACAGGACAUCCCAGGAGGACGUUGUGCAGCCGUGUGCCUCAUCCUGCCUGACUUCUCAUGCCUGGUCUACUGUGGAUGCCAUAUAUGGAGCAGUCACAACCCAGGCAAGUACUCAGGACUCUGUUUUACAUCCCUUGGCUUCCUUUCCAUUAUUUUUUUUAAUGGUUCUGCCACAGUCACACAAUAGCAUCAUGUCUGAGGUCAUUGGGAUCCAGGAAACAGGGAGCGUCCAGAGAGGUUGGGCUGCCUGAGGCAAGACAUCCCCAGCAGAGCUGCUGAGGGUAGUGCCAUGGGGCUGAGAUCUCACAGCAAAAAGAUGAAAAAGUAUCAUAUUGUUGCUGCAACAGGAGAUUCAGUGUUGGAAUCUACACAUCCUGAUGGCACAUUUAGCAUUUGACCCAUGGGAUGGGGCACACAUCUACAGAGGAGGAUUGGUUUGUCAAUGUGUGGGAGCAGUUGAUGUGUUUAGGGAGGGAUAUCCUCCUUAUGUUCCCCAGGCCCUCUUUAUGACACUGCUGAUUUUGCACUUGGUCUUCAUUUUCAGCCCAAGACCUAACGGCUACUCCACUAAUGCACAAAACACCAAAGGGCAGAGGGUAGGAGAAAUUGAAAAAUGUUGUGAAGGAAAAAUUUUGAGAGAGAGAGAGAGAGAGAGAAAGAGAGAGAGAGAGAGAAACUAGGCAUUGCAUCCAUCUUUCUCGUUCCUCUGGGAUGUGUUUGGGCCCCUUACAGAUGUUUCUGGGGAUGUCGAUGACUGUAUGACACAAGAUUUCCUUUGUGACCCCUAUGGGAAUACAUUUUCUCCGGUUUAUGCCAGGAACAGUUGCUUCAGUCUUCCAAGAGCAUGCUGUGCGUCCUGCGGUCGAAUCUGCUUCCCUCUGUCCUGGAGUCUUUCACGCUCAGAACUCAGAACCUGGGUCUCCCGUUCCUCCCCAGGAACAAGCCCACCCAGCUUCCUGCUGCUUUUCCUGCCUAAAUUCUUUUCCUUCUGAUCGCCUCACCUGAUUUUUCCUUCAAUUUUUAUCACAGUGUUUUGUAGAAUCAUUGAAACACUUGAUAUCCUCUUUGGAAACAGUGGUAUAUAAAUAAAUUGUAGUUAAAACCUUGAGGGGGAGAAGUCUUUGUUACUUAGGGACCUUGGGCAACUAUCCUGUGGUUUUGCUGUUUGGUUUUCUCCAGCGGGCAUGUAACGUACAGGUUCUGGAGUCUGGCCACUGGGGGUUCAGGUCUUCACUCUACUACUUCCCUCUUGUUUGAGCUCAGUGGUGGUUGGACGCAGGCCUCCCUCUGCACAUUGCCAUUUGCUUCAUCAAAACUGGGAGAAGAUGAGGGAAGUCUGUAUUAGUGAUCCUCUCCAGCUUUGCCCUGUCCUAAUUUGUAUGAAUCACAAUAAAGCAGUAACUGUAAGAGCAGAUGAGCACCAAACCUUGUGGCUGGGCGAGGGUCAGGAGGCUGCCGGGUAGAGUAAUAUUGG
Molecule: long non-coding RNA, 1871 nt
Organism: Canis lupus familiaris (dog)
Lineage: Eukaryota; Metazoa; Chordata; Mammalia; Carnivora; Canidae
Exons: 5
Source: RefSeq, a predicted model, not a curated record